Sceloporus undulatus (fence lizard) is the source of this 281-nucleotide long non-coding RNA. RefSeq lists it as uncharacterized. The record is from RefSeq and is a predicted model, not a curated record. The transcript has 4 exons. NCBI's taxonomy places the organism in Eukaryota, Metazoa, Chordata, Lepidosauria, Squamata, Phrynosomatidae.
AGUCACCUUAGGGUCCCCAUAAGAUGGAAACAACUUGGAGACACAACAACUGCCUAGGGCCACUUCCUCGUUUAACUCAUCUAACAGUUGCAGACAAGAGUAUACAAAUUGUUCCAUCAGCUAACAUCUUUGGCUUCUCUGCAGCCUGAUGCAUAGAUCAUGAAUUCAGACACAGAACAAUCUGCAAUAAAAAAUGGGUAUGGUGAAGCUUCUCAGCCCUUUCCUAGAUGGAGGUUAAGAGAUGAAGAGUGCCUAGGAUCACAUAAACUGGAAAGCUCUUC